GCCCGAGUGGCCUAAUGGUUAAGGCUUCUGACUUCUAAUUAACAGGAGAUUCAUCAGAGGAUUGUGGGUUCGAGUCCCACCCCGGGCU
This 88-nucleotide transfer RNA is filed under the name Cryptococcus depauperatus. RNAcentral describes it as "tRNA-Arg". It matches the Rfam family "tRNA". From Rfam's summary of the family: Transfer RNA (tRNA) molecules are approximately 80 nucleotides in length. Their secondary structure includes four short double-helical elements and three loops (D, anti-codon, and T loops). RNAcentral also lists the same sequence under 1 other name. The record is from RNAcentral. Lineage: Eukaryota; Fungi; Basidiomycota; Tremellomycetes; Tremellales; Cryptococcaceae.